Molecule: ribosomal RNA, 320 nt
Filed under: uncultured eukaryote
Lineage: Eukaryota
Description: partial 18S ribosomal RNA
Rfam family: Eukaryotic small subunit ribosomal RNA
Source: RNAcentral
CCCCUAGAUGUUCUGGGCCGCACGCGCGCUACACUGAACAGUUCAACAAGUCUUAACCUUGGCCGAUAGGUCUGGGUAAUCUUUGAACGCUGUUCGUGAUUGGGAUCGACCUUUGCAAUUAUGGGUCUUCAACGAGGAAUUCCUAGUAAACGCAAGUCAUCAGCUUGCAUUGAUUACGUCCCUGCCCUUUGUACACACCGCCCGUCGCACCUACCGAUUGAAUGGUCCGGUGAAAUCUCGGGACGGCGGCUUGGUCGCUUGCGUCCGACUGCUGAAACUUGAUUAAACCAUAUCAUUUAGAGGAAGGUGAAGUCGUAACA